Molecule: non-coding RNA, 135 nt
Organism: Triticum aestivum (bread wheat)
Lineage: Eukaryota; Viridiplantae; Streptophyta; Magnoliopsida; Poales; Poaceae
Source: Rfam
GUAGUAUUCCCUCCGUCCCAAAAUUCUUGUCUUACAUUUGUUUAGAUACACAUGUAUCUAACACUAAAAUGUAACUAGAUACAUCCGUAUUUAGACAAAUUUAAGACAAGAAUUUUGGGACGGAGGGAGUACAAA